GUGCCAGCCGCCGCGGUAAUACCGGCAGCCCGAGUGAUGGCCGAUAUUAUUGGGCCUAAAGCGUCCGUAGCUGGCCGAACAAGUCCGUCGGGACAUCCACGUGCUUAACGCGUGGGCGACCGGCGGAAACUGUCCGGCUUGGGGCCGGAGGACCCGAGGGGUACGUCCGGGGUAGGAGUGAAAUCCCGUAAUCCUGGACGGACCGCCGGUGGCGAAAGCACCUUGGAAGGACGGAUCCGACAGUGAGGGACGAAAGCUAGGGUCUCGAACCGGAUUAGAAACCCAGUAGUCC
Molecule: ribosomal RNA, 292 nt
Filed under: uncultured bacterium
Lineage: Bacteria
Description: partial 16S ribosomal RNA
Rfam family: Archaeal small subunit ribosomal RNA
Source: RNAcentral